CAGGAAAUAGUUUAUUUAAAAUAUUAAUUUUGGAGAUUAAAGUAGAAAGGAUUCUUUUUUUCCUGA
This 66-nucleotide transfer RNA is filed under the name Orthotomicus laricis. RNAcentral describes it as "tRNA-Pro". Lineage: Eukaryota; Metazoa; Arthropoda; Insecta; Coleoptera; Curculionidae. The record is from RNAcentral.